AUUGAACGCUGGCGGCAUGCUUUACACAUGCAAGUCGAGCGGCAGCGCGGGGGCAACCCUGGCGGCGAGCGGCGAACGGGUGGGUAAUGCAUCGGAACGUAUCCUCGAGUGGGGGAUAACCCAGCGAAAGUUGGGCUAAUACCGCAUGAGCUCUGAGGAGGAAAGCGGGGGACCUGCGAGGGCCUCGCGCUGGAGGAGCGGCCGAUGUCCGAUUAGCUAGUUGGUGGGGUAAAGGCUUACCAAGGCGACGAUCGGUAGCUGGUCUGAGAGGAUGAUCAGCCACACUGGGACUGAGACACGGCCCAGACUCCUACGGGAGGCAGCAGUGGGGAAUUUUGGACAAUGGGGGCAACCCUGAUCCAGCCAUGCCGCGUGAGUGAAGAAGGCCUUCGGGUUGUAAAGCUCUUUCGGACGGAACGAAAUGGGCGGGACUAAUACUCCUGUCUGAUGACGGUACCGUAAGAAGAAGCACCGGCUAACUACGUG
This 486-nucleotide ribosomal RNA is filed under the name uncultured bacterium. RNAcentral's name for it is "partial 16S ribosomal RNA". It matches the Rfam family "Bacterial small subunit ribosomal RNA", at positions 29 to 507 of the family's 1533-position model. The record is from RNAcentral.